This 809-nucleotide ribosomal RNA is filed under the name uncultured bacterium. RNAcentral's name for it is "bacterial SSU rRNA". It matches the Rfam family "Bacterial small subunit ribosomal RNA", at positions 61 to 883 of the family's 1533-position model. The record is from RNAcentral.
GUCGAACGAGCGAGAGAGAGCUUGCUUUCUCGAGCGAGUGGCGAACGGGUGCGUUACGCGUGAGGAACCUGCCUCAAAGAGGGGGACAACAGUUGGAAACGACUGCUAAUACCGCAUAAGCCCACGGCUCGGCAUCGAGCAGAGGGAAAAGGAGCAAUCCGCUUUGAGAUGGCCUCGCGUCCGAUUAGCUAGUUGGUGAGGUAAUGGCCCACCAAGGCGACGAUUGGUAGCCGGACUGAGAGGUUGAACGGCCACAUUGGGACUGAGACACGGCCCAGACUCCUACGGGAGGCAGCAGUGGGGAAUAUUGCACAAUGGGGGAAACCCUGAUGCAGCGACGCCGCGUGGAGGAAGAAGGUCUUCGGAUUGUAAACUCCUGUUGUUGAGGAAGAUAAUGACGGUACUCAACAAGGAAGUGACGGCUAACUACGUGCCAGCAGCCGCGGUAAAACGUAGGUCACAAGCGUUGUCCGGAAUUACUGGGUGUAAAGGGAGCGCAGGCGGGAAGACAAGUUGGAAGUGAAAUCCAUGGGCUUAACCCAUGAACUGCUUUCAAAACUGUUUUUCUUGAGUAGUGCAGAGGUAGGCGGAAUUCCCGGUGUAGCGGUGGAAUGCGUAGAUAUCGGGAGGAACACCAGUGGCGAAGGCGGCCUACUGGGCACCAACUGACGCUGAGGCUCGAAAGUGUGGGUAGCAAACAGGAUUAGAUACCCUGGUAGUCCACACUGUAAACGAUGAUUACUAGGUGUUGGAGGAUUGACCCCUUCAGUGCCGCAGUUAACACAAUAAGUAAUCCACCUGGGGAGUAC